AGCGUAGGUGGCUUGAUAAGUCAGAUGUGAAAUCCCCGGGCUUAACCUGGGAACUGCAUCUGAUACUGUUAAGCUAGAGUAGGUGAGAGGGAAGUAGAAUUCCAGGUGUAGCGGUGAAAUGCGUAGAGAUCUGGAGGAAUACCGAUGGCGAAGGCAGCUUCCUGGCAUCAUACUGACACUGAGGCUCGAAAGCGUGGGUAGCAAACA
Molecule: ribosomal RNA, 207 nt
Filed under: uncultured Psychrobacter sp.
Lineage: Bacteria; Pseudomonadati; Pseudomonadota; Gammaproteobacteria; Moraxellales; Moraxellaceae
Description: partial 16S ribosomal RNA
Rfam family: Bacterial small subunit ribosomal RNA
Source: RNAcentral